Mus musculus (house mouse) is the source of this 1493-nucleotide long non-coding RNA. RefSeq annotates it as predicted gene, 46775. The record is from RefSeq and is a predicted model, not a curated record. The transcript has 3 exons. NCBI's taxonomy places the organism in Eukaryota, Metazoa, Chordata, Mammalia, Rodentia, Muridae.
UGGGAGCCACUGCGGUACUCGUGCUCAAAGGCAGGCAAGACCAGCUGGUGGCGUUUGAAGCGGCUCUGCUCCAUCCUGGAGGCUUGCAAUUUUGCCUGCCCCAUCAGUUGGCAGCACACCCACCUCGAAGUGAGAGACCAUAGCAUCCAUGAGCUCCUCGCAGAACGGAGGGUUGGCCUCAAAGGAACCACUCAGCGGGGUGAAGUCCAGGCAGGGCCUAAAGAAAGGGACCAGGACACAGAGCAGGCGACCGUUUGCUCUCCAUCGCCGCCCCCUACCUGGGAUGUUGUUUUCCUUGAGGACAGCAAGGUGCUUUUCUCGGAUCCGUUUAACAUAUUCCAGGGAGAUGUGGUAGAUCUUGCUGCAGAUGCCUUCCACAGAGUCCUUGGCUGCAGCAGAGACAUGGGGCCCACACUGCCUCCGAAGGUGCUCCAGGCGGUCCUGAAGAAAAGCCCUCAUCAGGACACUGAUGGCCAAAGGGCCUCUGAUGGUGGGGCUACUGAGUCCCAGACGCCCCAGCUGGGAAAGUAGUUCUCCUGUCUACUAGCCAUGCUGCUUGGACACGUCCCUUGCUCCUAUUAAUCUUGCUCCUAUCAAGGUAAUUCAAACUAGCAAAUAGGACAUCCUGAGUAGUCACUGUCAUCCCCUCAUUCACAAGGCCAGUCACGUGAGCAGUCCACUGGAUGGCUGCAGUUUCUGUUGCUGCUACAUUGGCAGAACCCAAGAUGAUUGGUGGAGAAAGAGGCAGGCCAGGCAAGCGCCAGCUUACAGCACUGGCUGUGGACUAGGAAGGCUGCCACAUCCCAGGGAGCAUGGCUAGGGCAUACUUCAAAGGCUGUGCUUUUAGGUACUUAGAGAGAUCCCCCACCCUCACCCUGACCCCGUGAUGCGCGAUCGCAGUGUGACAGUGAGUGGCUCUGGAUUAUGCGUGUACCUAUCUCAGUCAACAAGUGUCAGGUACAUUUAUGAUGUGAUCUGUGACACUUGUCUCUUGUGAAACAGUACUGAGAAGAGAACCCAGUGCAAGCUGGAGAUGGUUGAGUGACAGACAUAGGCCAGAGACCACGGUGGCUGAGGAUACACUGAGGAGGGUCGAUCUGAAGGUGGUUUUGUAAUAUUUAUUAGUGUAUGUAUAUGAGUGUUUACUGUCAUUCAUUUUUAUAUGCCACAAGCAUGCCUGGUACCCACAGAAGCCAGAAGGGAGCAUCACAUCCUUUGUAAUGGGAGUUAACGGUUGCAAGCCCCAAGUAGGUGCUGGAAUUGAAGCCCAAUCCAUUGGGAGAGCAGCCAGCUCUUAACUGCUGAGCCAUCUCUCCAGCCCCCUAAAGGUAGCUCUAAUUGUAAUAUGAACACGCACAAGGAAAGGCAGAUCUCUUCUCAAAGAUCUACCGAGGUGACAUGUUGGUCACUCAUCAGGUUGAGGGCAGCAUCUGUAUGUAUCUGAGCUUCAGAUUACAGAAGCAAUGGUAAUGGAGUUGUUCUUUGGGCGAAAA